GGGCCCAUAGCUCAGCCUGGUAGAGCAGUGGCCUUUUAAGCCAUGUGCCGUGGGUUCAAAUCCCACUGGGCUCG
Molecule: transfer RNA, 74 nt
Filed under: Candidatus Iainarchaeum sp.
Lineage: Archaea; Nanobdellati; Candidatus Iainarchaeota; Candidatus Iainarchaeia; Candidatus Iainarchaeales; Candidatus Iainarchaeaceae
Description: tRNA-Lys
Rfam family: tRNA
About the family: Transfer RNA (tRNA) molecules are approximately 80 nucleotides in length. Their secondary structure includes four short double-helical elements and three loops (D, anti-codon, and T loops).
Source: RNAcentral